CGGUCCUACGGGGGGCAGCAGUGAGGAAUAUUGGUCAAUGGGCGGGAGCCUGAACCAGCCAAGCCGCGUGAGGGAAGAAGGUACAGCGUAUCGUAAACCUCUUUUGUCAGGGAACAAAGGCGGGGACUAGUCCCCGGAUGAGGGUACCUGAAGAAAAAGCAUCGGCUAACUCCGUGCCAGCAGCCGCGGUAAUACGGAGGAUGCGAGCGUUAUCCGGAUUUAUUGGGUUUAAAGGGGGCGCAGGCGGCCUGUUAAGUCAGCGGUAAAAGCCCGGG
RNAcentral lists this ribosomal RNA (275 nucleotides) under uncultured bacterium. RNAcentral's name for it is "partial 16S ribosomal RNA". It matches the Rfam family "Bacterial small subunit ribosomal RNA", at positions 334 to 606 of the family's 1533-position model. The record is from RNAcentral.